AGUGAACGCUGGCGGUAGGCCUAACACAUGCAAGUCGAACGGCAGCACAGUAAGAGCUUGCUCUUACGGGUGGCGAGUGGCGGACGGGUGAGGAAUACAUCGGAAUCUACUUUUUCGUGGGGGAUAACGUAGGGAAACUUACGCUAAUACCGCAUACGACCUACGGGUGAAAGCAGGGGAUCUUCGGACCUUGCGCGAUUGAAUGAGCCGAUGUCGGAUUAGCUAGUUGGCGGGGUAAAGGCCCACCAAGGCGACGAUCCGUAGCUGGUCUGAGAGGAUGAUCAGCCACACUGGAACUGAGACACGGUCCAGACUCCUACGGGAGGCAGCAGUGGGGAAUAUUGGACAAUGGGCGAAAGCCUGAUCCAGCCAUACCGGGUGGGUGAAGAAGGCCUUCGGGUUGUAAAGCCCUUUUGUUGGGAAAGAAAAGCAGCAGGUUAAUACCCCGCUGUUCUGACGGUACCCAAAGAAUAAGCACCGGCUAACUUCGUG
RNAcentral lists this ribosomal RNA (492 nucleotides) under uncultured bacterium. RNAcentral describes it as "partial 16S ribosomal RNA". It matches the Rfam family "Bacterial small subunit ribosomal RNA", at positions 29 to 507 of the family's 1533-position model. The record is from RNAcentral.